UCACGAGGUGGGCAUCCGCAGGCGGCGUU
RNAcentral lists this small RNA (29 nucleotides) under Bombyx mori (domestic silkworm). Its description in RNAcentral is "ovarian small RNA-25249". Lineage: Eukaryota; Metazoa; Arthropoda; Insecta; Lepidoptera; Bombycidae. The record is from RNAcentral.